This 468-nucleotide ribosomal RNA is filed under the name uncultured bacterium. Its description in RNAcentral is "partial 16S ribosomal RNA". It matches the Rfam family "Bacterial small subunit ribosomal RNA", at positions 28 to 507 of the family's 1533-position model. The record is from RNAcentral.
GACGAACGCUGGCGGCGUGCUUAACACAUGCAAGUCGAACGGAAAGGCCCUGCUUUUGUGGGGUGCUCGAGUGGCGAACGGGUGAGUAACACGUGAGUAACCUGCCCUUGACUUUGGGAUAACUUCAGGAAACUGGGGCUAAUACCGGAUAGGAGCUCCUGCUGCAUGGUGGGGGUUGGAAAGUUUCGGCGGUUGGGGAUGGACUCGCGGCUUAUCAGCUUGUUGGCGGGGUAGUGGCUUACCAAGGCUUUGACGGGUAGCCGGCCUGAGAGGGUGACCGGCCACAUUGGGACUGAGAUACGGCCCAGACUACUACGGGCGGCAGCAGUGGGGAAUAUUGCACAAUGGGCGGAAGCCUGAUGCAGCAACGCCGCGUGCGGGAUGACGGCCUUCGGGUUGUAAACCGCUUUCGCCUGUGACGAAGCGUGAGUGACGGUAAUGGGUAAAGAAGCACCGGCUAACUACGUG